UGGGGGAUAUUGCACAAUGGGCGAAAGCCUGAUGCAGCGACGCCGCGUGGGGGAUGAAGGCUUUCGGGUUGUAAACCUCUUUCGCUAUCGAACAAGGCCCGCUUAGGGUGGGUUGAGGGUAGGUGGAGAAGAGGCGCCGGCUAACUACGUGCCAGCAGCCGCGGUAAUACGUAGGGCGCGAGCGUUGUCCGGAAUUAUUGGGCGUAAAGGGCUUGUAGGCGGCUUGUUGCGCCUGCUGUGAAAACGCGGGGCUUAACGUCGCGCGUGCAGUGGGUACGGGAAGGCUUGAGUGUGGUAGGGGUGACUGGAAUUCCAGGUGUAGCGGUGGAAUGCGCAGAUAUCUGGAGGAACACCGAUGGCGAAGGCAGGUCACUGGGCCAUUACUGACGCUGAGGAGCGAAAGCAUGGGUAGCGAACAGG
RNAcentral lists this ribosomal RNA (420 nucleotides) under Chloroflexota bacterium. RNAcentral's name for it is "Chloroflexi bacterium partial 16S ribosomal RNA". It matches the Rfam family "Bacterial small subunit ribosomal RNA", at positions 355 to 776 of the family's 1533-position model. Lineage: Bacteria; Bacillati; Chloroflexota. The record is from RNAcentral.